This 466-nucleotide ribosomal RNA is filed under the name uncultured Geobacter sp. RNAcentral describes it as "bacterial SSU rRNA". It matches the Rfam family "Bacterial small subunit ribosomal RNA", at positions 338 to 795 of the family's 1533-position model. The record is from RNAcentral. Lineage: Bacteria; Pseudomonadati; Thermodesulfobacteriota; Desulfuromonadia; Geobacterales; Geobacteraceae.
CCUACGGGGGGCUGCAGUGGGGAAUUUUGCGCAAUGGGGGAAACCCUGACGCAGCAACGCCGCGUGAGUGAUGAAGGCCUUCGGGUCGUAAAGCUCUGUCAGAGGGGAAGAAGUGUGGGGUGGCUAAUAUCCAUUUCACUUGACGGUACCUUCAAAGGAAGCACCGGCUAACUCCGUGCCAGCAGCCGCGGUAAUACGGAGGGUGCGAGCGUUGUUCGGAAUUAUUGGGCGUAAAGCGCGUGUAGGCGGUUUUUUAAGUCUGAUGUGAAAGCCCUGGGCUCAACCCGGGAAGUGCAUUGGAAACUGGGAGACUUGAAUACGGGAGAGGGCAGUGGAAUUCCUGGUGUAGGAGUGAAAUCCGUAGAUAUCAGGAGGAACACCGGUGGCGAAGGCGGCUGCCUGGACCGAUAUUGACGCUGAGACGCGAAAGCGUGGGGAGCAAACAGGAUUAGAUACCCCAGUAGUC